This is a long non-coding RNA of Macrobrachium nipponense, 696 nucleotides long. RefSeq lists it as uncharacterized. The transcript is spliced from 2 exons. NCBI's taxonomy places the organism in Eukaryota, Metazoa, Arthropoda, Malacostraca, Decapoda, Palaemonidae. The record is from RefSeq and is a predicted model, not a curated record.
UCUUAUCAAGAUGUUAAGUUAGCCACUCGAAGUUGAGAUUGUCUAUGAUCGAGUGUAUGUACGUAAGUACGUAACUGUAACCAAGUGCGCAGUUGCACAAGAUGAAAUUGCUCUGUUCGAGACGAGUACGGCAACGCUGAGGGGAAACGAAUGUCUCUCGCCUUAUAUUCAUUUGAAAUGACGUAUUUCUCCCUUGUAAAAGGGAACCAGUACAGAGGUCCUGUGUAAGAACCAGUAUAGGGGCCCAGUGUAAGAACCUGUAUAGGGGUCGAGUGUAAGAACCUGUAUAGGGGUCCAAUGUAAGAACCAGUAUAAGAAUCGGUGUUGGUUCUAACUGGUAUUGAAGGAGUACAGCUAGGAAUAAGCUGCUUUUACAAUGUAUCCACCUACUGUUAAGAAGAAAUAUUAAAAAAAAAACCGGGAGUCAGCCUUUCCCUCAACCCUUAUUACAACAAUGAAGAUUCGACCGUCUCUGACGUCAAGUACCGGUUCCAGCUAAGGAUAGGCCAAGAAGUAUAGUAGCCUAGGCCUAUGAGGUACCUUUAUAUUAGCCUAUGGUUUGAAGUGUUUUGUAUAGGCUAGUCUGAGUUAAUUGUCCUAAAAUGUAUGGUAGCCUCCAAAUGUCUAAGUCAGGACAAUUGACACAUCAGUACUGUAUACAUAUGCAGUAUAGUAAAUACAUGAGUCAUAAGAAUA